This is a non-coding RNA of Chelonoidis abingdonii (Abingdon island giant tortoise), 95 nucleotides long. The record is from RefSeq and is a predicted model, not a curated record. NCBI's taxonomy places the organism in Eukaryota, Metazoa, Chordata, Testudines, Testudinidae.
GGCUCCUGGGGGCACUGGCAUGUCCCCCCUCCGGCUCCUAAGUGUAGGGGCAACUAGAGGGCUCCACACACUGUCCUCACCCCAAGCACAGCACC